This is a long non-coding RNA of Dicentrarchus labrax (European seabass), 2317 nucleotides long. RefSeq lists it as uncharacterized. The record is from RefSeq and is a predicted model, not a curated record. NCBI's taxonomy places the organism in Eukaryota, Metazoa, Chordata, Actinopteri, Moronidae. The transcript is spliced from 2 exons.
UACAGUUGUGAUUUUCAAGCUUACCUGUCCACAGUGCCAGUAGUUAUUAUGAGGGCUGGAUUUGUUUUAUUGCCCACACACUACAUUACAAGCUUAUUUUUUCUUCAUGUCAGCUUUCUGAAGGGCACAGGCUGCUUGUAUUUCCAGUUUAAGUGGUCAUGGGAAGGGGGCUACUUGUUAAUGAUUGAUGCGGCACCUCUUAAUGUGAUGGAUGAAUCGCCUGCUGCAUGAUGGGACGGGGUGAGUCACCCACCCCUGCUCCCCUCCCCCAACACUCACCACUACUCUCCAUGUAAGGGAGACACACGCCUUGUGUCCAUCGAUGGAGGAACAAAGGCACAUUCAAUUUAAGCCCUAUCAAUAAUGUACAGCUGAGGAGGCCUUUUGCUCAAGGAGCCCUGUAAAAGCUUGGGCAUUGUUAUGGUGUAGCAAUGGUUUUUGACUGGUUUAUUAUCUCCGGAUCUGUACACUGAGUCAUGUAUGGUAUCAUCUUUUUAUUUAUUGUUGCAUGGCAGCGUCACUGUGAUGUCUGAGAGCCCUCUUGAGCUGCUUUGUUUCUCUGGAGGCUGCAGCCCAGGCGCUGGAGAAUAUGUCAAAAGCAAGAUAAGAAGAAUGCCAUAGUUUUUGAUUUAUCGCCCAUGUCAUACAUUUACACAUGCUGUCUAUAAAAAAGGAAAUAUUUUUGCUUUAAGUAGAAGCUGGACUGUGAAUAAAAUCUGACGUGUUGAGAGUUUGUUUUUUUAUAUAUUUAUAUAAAAACACUUAAAAGACACAGUAUGGUAUGAGACAGGGAGUGAUAGUAUAAGAAGCAAAGGAAUAGGAAAUGCAGCAAGCAAUCACUAAAUGACCUAAAUAAGUAAGAACAUAAAAUCAGAGAAAAACAAGGCUGUAAAAAUAGGCCUUAGACAAAAGAAGAUGUAAUCUCCAAUCUUGUCUUUACAGAGUUGAGGAGUGUAAAAACACAGCCCAUGACUUUACGGUGACCUGAAAUGCCCCAUGUGAAGGUACCGGGCUAUGCACAAUAUCUAAUGAGCAGUUUAAAGGUCAGGGUCAUAGCUUGGGGAUAACUCAGACGUGCUUUAGAAUAAUCAAUAUCUACCCUAAAAUGGAAAGAGAAACAAGUGCCAAUGCUGCACUGCUUGAUGUUAUUGGUUUUGCACCAAUUAAAAUUCAUACACAAACAUUUUCUACAACAGAAAACUGAAAGACUAUCACUUUCCAAGUUUUUAGCUGCUUUGAUGUUUCCAAAUUUGGAAGAAGCACCACUCCAUAAAUGUUUGCAUAUACAAAGAAAGCUGUCAGAGAGUUUAACAAGAGAUUCCAGCCUUGGCAGCUCUCUAUACUUUGAACUAAAUGCUAACAUCAGAUUGCUCACAAUGCCAAUGCUAACAUGCCAAGGUUUAACAGGUAUAAUGUUUACCAUCUUGGUUUAUCAUAUUAGUGUGCUAACAUUUGCUAAUUAGCACAAAACAUAAGGUGCAGCUGAGGCUGAUUGGAAUGUCAUUAGUUUAUGCAGGUGAUCUGCUGUACUUCCAUGACUGCUUGGCCACCUACCGCUUCAACACCACAGAGUUUGCUGAUGACAUGACCGUCAGGCCAGGACAACAACCGCCAUCUCAACGUCAGCAAGUUGAUUGUGGACUACAGGAAGUAGUCCUAUACACCGACACCACCACAAUGACAUCAAGACAAUGGCUCUUCUUCUGCAGGCUGAGGGAGAUCAACAUGGUCUCCAGCCUGCAUACCUAAUAGGUAGAAUAUCCUGACUGGCUGCAUUACUAGCUGGUGUGGUUGUUGCACUACCCUUAGCCGUAAGGCUCUACAGCUUCCUCCCACAGGCCAUGUCUGUUGAAUUCCUGAGCUCUCAAUACUACAUCACUUUGCUCCUUACUUGUUUAUACAUGCACAGCUCUCAGUAUACAUACAUAUGUAUUUUUUUGCUGCUUAAAAACUGCAUAUUUAUGUGCACUUCUUGACUACAUGCUUUUCUCACCUGUCCAUAACCAGUUCUCAUUAAGCAUUUAUUACGUUACUGUACAAACUGUGUACAUACAGUUUAUUCAUUUAAUCACUACUGUACUAUAGCAUUAUAUUUUAUAUUCAGUUGUAUUGUAUUUUAUGUCCUAAAAUACAGGACAUGUUCUUGUUUUUUUCUUCACUUCUCUUUUAUCUAAUUUCUUAUUUACUUGCAUGUUUCUCUUUUCAUGUAUAUUGUGUGAGAUUUUUUUCAGGGCACCAGGGAAUUAAGAAUUUAAUUGCCAAUGAAAGCUUAAUUUUAACUGUUGUGCUUAUGACAAAUAAAGAACUUGAAACACUA